Molecule: ribosomal RNA, 2931 nt
Filed under: Escherichia coli
Lineage: Bacteria; Pseudomonadati; Pseudomonadota; Gammaproteobacteria; Enterobacterales; Enterobacteriaceae
Description: 23S ribosomal RNA
Rfam family: Bacterial large subunit ribosomal RNA
Source: RNAcentral
GGGUUGUGAGGUUAAGCGACUAAGCGUACACGGUGGAUGCCCUGGCAGUCAGAGGCGAUGAAGGACGUGCUAAUCUGCGAUAAGCGUCGGUAAGGUGAUAUGAACCGUUAUAACCGGCGAUUUCCGAAUGGGGAAACCCAGUGUGAUUCGUCACACUAUCAUUAACUGAAUCCAUAGGUUAAUGAGGCGAACCGGGGGAACUGAAACAUCUAAGUACCCCGAGGAAAAGAAAUCAACCGAGAUUCCCCCAGUAGCGGCGAGCGAACGGGGAGCAGCCCAGAGCCUGAAUCAGUGUGUGUGUUAGUGGAAGCGUCUGGAAAGGCGCGCGAUACAGGGUGACAGCCCCGUACACAAAAAUGCACAUACUGUGAGCUCGAUGAGUAGGGCGGGACACGUGGUAUCCUGUCUGAAUAUGGGGGGACCAUCCUCCAAGGCUAAAUACUCCUGACUGACCGAUAGUGAACCAGUACCGUGAGGGAAAGGCGAAAAGAACCCCGGCGAGGGGAGUGAAAAAGAACCUGAAACCGUGUACGUACAAGCAGUGGGAGCCUCUUUAUGGGGUGACUGCGUACCUUUUGUAUAAUGGGUCAGCGACUUAUAUUCUGUAGCAAGGUUAACCGAAUAGGGGAGCCGAAGGGAAACCGAGUCUUAACUGGGCGUUAAGUUGCAGGGUAUAGACCCGAAACCCGGUGAUCUAGCCAUGGGCAGGUUGAAGGUUGGGUAACACUAACUGGAGGACCGAACCGACUAAUGUUGAAAAAUUAGCGGAUGACUUGUGGCUGGGGGUGAAAGGCCAAUCAAACCGGGAGAUAGCUGGUUCUCCCCGAAAGCUAUUUAGGUAGCGCCUCGUGAAUUCAUCUCCGGGGGUAGAGCACUGUUUCGGCAAGGGGGUCAUCCCGACUUACCAACCCGAUGCAAACUGCGAAUACCGGAGAAUGUUAUCACGGGAGACACACGGCGGGUGCUAACGUCCGUCGUGAAGAGGGAAACAACCCAGACCGCCAGCUAAGGUCCCAAAGUCAUGGUUAAGUGGGAAACGAUGUGGGAAGGCCCAGACAGCCAGGAUGUUGGCUUAGAAGCAGCCAUCAUUUAAAGAAAGCGUAAUAGCUCACUGGUCGAGUCGGCCUGCGCGGAAGAUGUAACGGGGCUAAACCAUGCACCGAAGCUGCGGCAGCGACACUAUGUGUUGUUGGGUAGGGGAGCGUUCUGUAAGCCUGUGAAGGUGUACUGUGAGGUAUGCUGGAGGUAUCAGAAGUGCGAAUGCUGACAUAAGUAACGAUAAAGCGGGUGAAAAGCCCGCUCGCCGGAAGACCAAGGGUUCCUGUCCAACGUUAAUCGGGGCAGGGUGAGUCGACCCCUAAGGCGAGGCCGAAAGGCGUAGUCGAUGGGAAACAGGUUAAUAUUCCUGUACUUGGUGUUACUGCGAAGGGGGGACGGAGAAGGCUAUGUUGGCCGGGCGACGGUUGUCCCGGUUUAAGCGUGUAGGCUGGUUUUCCAGGCAAAUCCGGAAAAUCAAGGCUGAGGCGUGAUGACGAGGCACUACGGUGCUGAAGCAACAAAUGCCCUGCUUCCAGGAAAAGCCUCUAAGCAUCAGGUAACAUCAAAUCGUACCCCAAACCGACACAGGUGGUCAGGUAGAGAAUACCAAGGCGCUUGAGAGAACUCGGGUGAAGGAACUAGGCAAAAUGGUGCCGUAACUUCGGGAGAAGGCACGCUGAUAUGUAGGUGAAGUCCCUCGCGGAUGGAGCUGAAAUCAGUCGAAGAUACCAGCUGGCUGCAACUGUUUAUUAAAAACACAGCACUGUGCAAACACGAAAGUGGACGUAUACGGUGUGACGCCUGCCCGGUGCCGGAAGGUUAAUUGAUGGGGUUAGCGGUAACGCGAAGCUCUUGAUCGAAGCCCCGGUAAACGGCGGCCGUAACUAUAACGGUCCUAAGGUAGCGAAAUUCCUUGUCGGGUAAGUUCCGACCUGCACGAAUGGCGUAAUGAUGGCCAGGCUGUCUCCACCCGAGACUCAGUGAAAUUGAACUCGCUGUGAAGAUGCAGUGUACCCGCGGCAAGACGGAAAGACCCCGUGAACCUUUACUAUAGCUUGACACUGAACAUUGAGCCUUGAUGUGUAGGAUAGGUGGGAGGCUUUGAAGUGUGGACGCCAGUCUGCAUGGAGCCGACCUUGAAAUACCACCCUUUAAUGUUUGAUGUUCUAACGUUGGCCCCUGAUCGGGGUUGCGGACAGUGUCUGGUGGGUAGUUUGACUGGGGCGGUCUCCUCCUAAAGAGUAACGGAGGAGCACGAAGGUUGGCUAAUCCUGGUCGGACAUCAGGAGGUUAGUGCAAUGGCAUAAGCCAGCUUGACUGCGAGCGUGACGGCGCGAGCAGGUGCGAAAGCAGGUCAUAGUGAUCCGGUGGUUCUGAAUGGAAGGGCCAUCGCUCAACGGAUAAAAGGUACUCCGGGGAUAACAGGCUGAUACCGCCCAAGAGUUCAUAUCGACGGCGGUGUUUGGCACCUCGAUGUCGGCUCAUCACAUCCUGGGGCUGAAGUAGGUCCCAAGGGUAUGGCUGUUCGCCAUUUAAAGUGGUACGCGAGCUGGGUUUAGAACGUCGUGAGACAGUUCGGUCCCUAUCUGCCGUGGGCGCUGGAGAACUGAGGGGGGCUGCUCCUAGUACGAGAGGACCGGAGUGGACGCAUCACUGGUGUUCGGGUUGUCAUGCCAAUGGCACUGCCCGGUAGCUAAAUGCGGAAGAGAUAAGUGCUGAAAGCAUCUAAGCACGAAACUUGCCCCGAGAUGAGUUCUCCCUGACUCCCUGAGAGUCCUGAAGGAACGUUGAAGACGACGACGUUGAUAGGCCGGGUGUGUAAGCGCAGCGAUGCGUUGAGCUAACCGGUACUAAUGAACCGUGAGGCUUAACCUUACAACGCCGAAGGUGUUU